UUAAAUUUUGCAGAGCCAAGAAGGAGUAGGCCUAAGGUUGCCAUUUUGCAGGUAGUUUCUGCAUGCUCCAUUCUCUUCUCUGCUAACUGGAGCUGGAGUCAAACUGCAAGAUUGGAUUGAAGUGUCUGACCAGCAUGCUGAGACAACAGAUGUAACUGAUUGGAAGUUUCAUUGGUGGAUGAAAAGCAAGCUUAAUGAGGCUGUAUCCAGAGUGGUGGAGGAGGGGAGGAUAGUGCAGAAGAUGGUUGAGAGCCUGAACCAAGCCAUCAAAAUUGUCAUUUAGCUGACAACAUGGAUGGCUGGGAUGAAGUAGCUGUGGCAGCUGGUUGGCUUCUUUGAGUAUCUUGGUCUCUUGGCUGGUUGUUCAUGUGGCCUGUGGAAAUUCGAGAAAUGAAUUGGGAAGAUCAAUGGGAUAUUUGAGACUUGCUAAAUUUUCUUUUAUUUGCAGGUGUAUACAUUUUGAGGGAUCUAAGGGUAGCCCUCGAGUCCUUCAAAAUUUGAAGCAACUCAUCAGUCGAUUUAGAGAAUACUUGUGGCCAUCCAAAGGGAGGUCCUCAGCAGUAUUCUGCGAUUCCCAAAAGAAACUGGACACCUAGCGCCAAGAUGGUUGUCACAUCAUGAUCAUGGUGGAAAUGGACCAGGUUGCCAUAUCAGCUGCAUAUAAGGAGGACUGUAAUAAUGUUCUCAUUAAGAGUUGCCCUUCAUUGAUGUCCUUAAAUUGUUUGCAGUGUUCCUCUGGCAAAUGCACAAUAAAGGUGUUGAAUUUAUUGUAAUUCAGAUAUGUCAAAACAAG
Molecule: long non-coding RNA, 793 nt
Organism: Chelonia mydas (Green sea turtle)
Lineage: Eukaryota; Metazoa; Chordata; Testudines; Cheloniidae
Exons: 3
Source: RefSeq, a predicted model, not a curated record